UACGGAGUGUGCAAGCGUUACUCGGAAUCACUGGGCGUAAAGCGCACGUAGGCGGAUUGCCAAGUCGGGGGUGAAAUCCUGGAGCUCAACUCCAGAACUGCCUUCGAUACUGGCGAUCUUGGAGUCCGGGAGAGGUGAGUGGAACUGCGAGUGUAGAGGUGAAAGUCGUAGAGAUUCGCAAGAACACCAGUGGCGAAGGCGGCUCACUGGCCCGGUACUGACGCUGAGGUGCGAAAGCGUGGGGAGCAAACAGG
This 254-nucleotide ribosomal RNA is filed under the name uncultured bacterium. RNAcentral's name for it is "partial 16S ribosomal RNA". It matches the Rfam family "Bacterial small subunit ribosomal RNA", at positions 524 to 776 of the family's 1533-position model. The record is from RNAcentral.